AUUUUAGAAUCUUUCCGAGCCAUAGCAACCUAAAAAGAGAAGUUUAUUCUCUUCAUGGUGCUAUGGCCGAUAGGGUACAGAUUUGGGAAACCGCUGUGCCUCCCGCUUUGGAAAGGAAAGAUUCUUCUAAAACA
RNAcentral lists this non-coding RNA (134 nucleotides) under Caldicellulosiruptor owensensis. RNAcentral's name for it is "MoCo sequence". It matches the Rfam family "Molybdenum/Tungsten riboswitch aptamer (Moco RNA motif)". RNAcentral also lists the same sequence under 1 other name. The record is from RNAcentral. Lineage: Bacteria; Bacillati; Bacillota; Caldicellulosiruptorales; Caldicellulosiruptoraceae.